Molecule: ribosomal RNA, 465 nt
Filed under: Vreelandella stevensii
Lineage: Bacteria; Pseudomonadati; Pseudomonadota; Gammaproteobacteria; Oceanospirillales; Halomonadaceae
Description: partial 16S ribosomal RNA
Rfam family: Bacterial small subunit ribosomal RNA
Source: RNAcentral
CCUACGGGAGGCUGCAGUGGGGAAUAUUGGACAAUGGGCGAAAGCCUGAUCCAGCCAUGCCGCGUGUGUGAAGAAGGCCUUCGGGUUGUAAAGCACUUUCAGUGGGGAAGAAAGCCUUGGGGCUAAUACCCUCGAGGAAGGACAUUACCCACAGAAGUAGCACCGGCUAACUCCGUGCCAGCAGCCGCGGUAAUACGGAGGGUGCGAGCGUUAAUCGGAAUUACUGGGCGUAAAGCGCGCGUAGGCGGUCUGAUAAGCCGGUUGUGAAAGCCCCGGGCUCAACCUGGGAACGGCAUCCGGAACUGUCAGGCUAGAGUGCAGGAGAGGAAGGUAGAAUUCCCGGUGUAGCGGUGAAAUGCGUAGAGAUCGGGAGGAAUACCAGUGGCGACGGCGGCCUUCUGGACUGACACUGACGCUGAGGUGCGAAAGCGUGGGUAGCAAACAGGAUUAGAUACCCUAGUAGUC